RNAcentral lists this ribosomal RNA (406 nucleotides) under uncultured bacterium. RNAcentral's name for it is "partial 16S ribosomal RNA". It matches the Rfam family "Bacterial small subunit ribosomal RNA", at positions 29 to 526 of the family's 1533-position model. The record is from RNAcentral.
AUUGAACGCUGGCGGCAGGCCUAACACAUGCAAGUCGAACGAGUGGCGGACGGGUGAGUAAUGUCUGGGAAACUGCCUGAUGGAGGGGGAUAACUACUGGAAACGGUAGCUAAUACCGCAUACCAUCGGAUGUGCCCAGAUGGGAUUAGCUAGUAGGGGGGGAAACGGCUCACCUAGGCGACGAUCCCUAGCUGGUCUGAGAGGACGACGAGCAACAGUGGAACUGAGACAAGGGCCAGACUCCUACGGGAGGCAGCAGUGGGGAAUAUUGCACAAUGGGCGAAAGCCUGAGGCAGCCAUGCCGCGUGUAUGAAGAAGGCCUUAGGGUUGUAAAGUACUUUCAGCGGGGAGGCGUUACCCGCAGAAGAAGCACCGGCUAACUCCGUGCCAGCCGCCGCGGUAAUAC